GGACAUCCACGCCAUCAGAACUAACUCCCGGAGCCAAACCGUUGGGCCUACAUUCACCUCCUGAAUAAGCUCAGGACUCACGCAGCCAAGGCAGAGAGUGCGAAGAUGGAGACAAGGCCAGGAGUCCCCGAGCCUUUCCGAGCUGGCGAGACUUUCAGAACUCAGAGAAAUUUUCCAUCUCUGCCAGAAAACAGUCUUCACGCUCCUGCUAGGUCCCAUCCAAGGAGGAAACCCUUCCACCUGAGUUCAGAGGCUUCACGACCAGCACCAAGCCCCAAGGCAGGGCUUGAAUUCAUGACCCUGAGAUCAGGACCUGAGCUGAGAUCAAGAGACCCAUGCUUAACAGAUCGAACCACCCAUGUGCCCCUAAAAACAAACAAAAAACUUAAGGAGAUGCUCAGAAAAUCCACUCACUACUCAGACCAGCUAAAAGCAGUGAUUCUCAACUGGAGGUGCUUUUGCUGACUCUCUCCUGGACAUUUGACAAUUUUUGGAGACUUUCGA
Long non-coding RNA from Felis catus (domestic cat), 504 nucleotides. RefSeq lists it as uncharacterized. The transcript has 3 exons. Lineage: Eukaryota; Metazoa; Chordata; Mammalia; Carnivora; Felidae. The record is from RefSeq and is a predicted model, not a curated record.